RNAcentral lists this ribosomal RNA (254 nucleotides) under uncultured bacterium. RNAcentral's name for it is "partial 16S ribosomal RNA". It matches the Rfam family "Bacterial small subunit ribosomal RNA", at positions 524 to 776 of the family's 1533-position model. The record is from RNAcentral.
UACGUAGGUGGCAAGCGUUGUCCGGAUUUACUGGGCGUAAAGUGUGCGCAGGCGGCCGCGCAAGUCGAGUGUGAAAGCCCCGAGCUUAACUUGGGAAUUGCGCUCGAAACUACUUGGCUGGAGUGUGGCAGAGGAAGGUGGAAUUCCAGGUGUAGCGGUGAAAUGCGUAGAGAUCUGGAGGAACACCGAUGGCGAAGGCAGCCUUCUGGGCCAACACUGACGCUCAUGCACGAAAGCGUGGGGGAGCAAACAGG